CCUGUGUGAGCACAGCCAGCAGCCCUUGCUGUGGCAGUGCUGGGCACUGUGCCCCAGCCCCGCUGCUCUGCUCAUGUCACGCUCACAUCUGUCGGGUGUCAGCUGAGUGUGAGGUAAUGUCUGGGCAAAAGCAUGCCAUGGAUCUAAUGCAAAAGACUUUAAAGUCCAUGGUCAGGAAUGGAGAAGGAAACAGAAUUCGAACAGCCCAGUGUGGAAAGCAGCUGUGUCGUGGAGGACUGGAUGGGAUGUCUGUGCCAAUGCAGGAGAGGACUGUGACCAGGACACUGUCCCCAGGCAUCUCUGCCUCGGCAGAUGGCCAGGGAUCAGGCUGCCUUCUGAAAUCAAGGGCAUUUUUCUGUUCAGCUGAGUAG
RNAcentral lists this long non-coding RNA (371 nucleotides) under Cyanistes caeruleus (blue tit). RNAcentral's name for it is "lncRNA (ENSCCEG00000005380.1)". Lineage: Eukaryota; Metazoa; Chordata; Aves; Passeriformes; Paridae. The record is from RNAcentral.